This 942-nucleotide long non-coding RNA is filed under the name Helianthus annuus (common sunflower). Its description in RNAcentral is "hypothetical non coding rna". Lineage: Eukaryota; Viridiplantae; Streptophyta; Magnoliopsida; Asterales; Asteraceae. The record is from RNAcentral.
UUAAUGUAUUGUGCGAAUAUCAUUUGAAGCAUAGGCCGUGUAGUGAAUACCAUAGAUAAACUCUUAAACCUUGUUCUUAUUAUAGAUGCUACGUUUUGGUUAGAAUGCAUGAUUGUUGUACGAAAGAAUAAAUGGAAAUCUUGCAAUUUAGAGUGAAUGUUAACUCCCGUUACAUGCCCAAUUAAGUUGUAAUUGAGGAAUGUGAUGACCGAAAUACAUACAUGAAAAACUAGCCCAGCCGUCUAUUGAUUUAUGUGAAACUAUGCUGUCUUGUAACAUAAAGAAUCAGCAAGAAUCCUGCAUAUUUAACAAGGGAGUUAUGUGCAGAGUCUACCGUAAAUUACGGUGGUACCGUAAUUUACGGUGACCUGCAACUCUGUUACGGUGGAUCUCUACUGUGUUACGGUAGACCCCCAAAUGUUCAGGAGCCACCGUAAUUUACGGUGACACCGUAAAUUACGGUGAAGCCCUGUUUGAUGAACUUUAUUUCUCGUUUUGAAUAAGUUUUCGAAUCUAAUCCAAUUUCGUGACUUCCAUGGUACCAAGUGAAGGAUGAAGAUCAAGCUAGUUAACUCGAACCGAACACUCUAGCAAACGCUUCCGCAUAUAACCUUUUGUUUUAAAAACCAUGUAAACAAUUGUAGUUAAUGUCUUGGUUAUGAUUUUGUAAAGAUUGUACAAGUUUGUGGUGCUUAGAUGGAUUAAAAUGAUGAAAGUUUUUGUUAAGUCAAUAUUUUGACAUCUAAUGCAAGGUUUUUAUGUAUAUAAAUCUGGUUUCAUAAGCUGGGUCUUACAAGUUGGUAAUCAGAGCUUAAGGUUUCCAAUAAGUGUUCGGUUCAAGCUUGAUCAACAUCCGGUAAGAGUUAUUGCUUAAGUAAAAUUUAGAAGUAUAGAAAUAAUUCACAAAAGAAUAUACAUGGAAAAGAGUGUAUAAACACACUC